UACGAAGGGGGCUAGCGUUGUUCGGAUUUAUUGGGCGUAAAGCGCACGUAGGCGGAUCGUUAAGUCGGGGGUGAAAUCCUGGAGCUCAACUCCAGAACUGCCUUCGAUACUGGCGAUCUUGAGUCCGGAAGAGGUGAGUGGAACUCCUAGUGUAGAGGUGGAAUUCGUAGAUAUUAGGAAGAACACCAGUGGCGAAGGCGGCUCACUGGUCCGGUACUGACGCUGAGGUGCGAAAGCGUGGGGAGCAAACAGG
Molecule: ribosomal RNA, 253 nt
Filed under: uncultured bacterium
Lineage: Bacteria
Description: partial 16S ribosomal RNA
Rfam family: Bacterial small subunit ribosomal RNA
Source: RNAcentral